GACCCCGUGAACCUUUACUAUAGCUUGACACUGAACAUUGAGCCUUGAUGUGUAGGAUAGGUGGGAGGCUUUGAAGCGUGGACGCCAGUCUGCGUGGAGCCAACCUUGAAAUACCACCCUUUAAUGUUUGAUGUUCUAACGUUGGCCCCUGACCGGGGUUGCGGACAGUGUCUGGUGGGUAGUUUGACUGGGGCGGUCUCCUCCUAAAGCGUAACGGAGGAGCACGAAGGUUAGCUAAUCCUGGUCGGACAUCAGGAGGUUAGUGCAAUGGCAUAAGCUAGCUUGACUGCGA
Molecule: ribosomal RNA, 292 nt
Filed under: Acinetobacter baumannii
Lineage: Bacteria; Pseudomonadati; Pseudomonadota; Gammaproteobacteria; Moraxellales; Moraxellaceae
Description: partial 23S ribosomal RNA
Rfam family: Bacterial large subunit ribosomal RNA
Source: RNAcentral